UGUGUACUCCCUCCGUUCCAAAAUACUUGACUUCCAUUUGUCCAAAAAUGGAUGUACCUAUAUACUAAGACAUGUCUAGAUACAUAUAUAUUUUGACAAAUAGAAGGCAUGUAUUGUGCAAGGGAGGGAGUAGAAU
Triticum aestivum (bread wheat) is the source of this 136-nucleotide non-coding RNA. NCBI's taxonomy places the organism in Eukaryota, Viridiplantae, Streptophyta, Magnoliopsida, Poales, Poaceae. The record is from Rfam.